GGGAUGUGUUUCGUCUUGCGAAAGAGAAUGCCCCGGCAAUUAUCUUCGUCGACGAGGUUGAUGCCAUAGCUACAGCUCGUUUUGAUGCACAGACUGGUGCUGACAGAGAAGUUCAGCGUAUCCUGAUGGAACUACUGAAUCAGAUGGAUGGAUUCGAUCAGACAGUAAAUGUCAAAGUAAUAAUGGCAACCAAUCGAGCAGAUACUUUGGACCCUGCACUUCUUCGUCCGGGAAGGCUUGAUAGGAAAAUUGAAUUCCCCUUGCCUGAUAGACGGCAGAAGAGGCUCGUUUUUCAGGUCUGUACUGCCAAGAUGAAUCUAAGCGACGAAGUUGAUCUGGAAGACUACGUCUCUCGACCUGACAAAAUUAGUGCAGCGGAGAUUUCUGCCAUAUGUCAAGAAGCAGGGAUGCAUGCUGUGAGGAAGAACCGAUAUGUGAUCCUUCCAAAGGACUUCGAGAAAGGAUACAGAACAAAUGUGAAGAAGCCGGAUACUGACUUCGACUUCUACAAGUGACGAGUCUGCUUGUGGAAAUUUCACUCUUAGUGUAUGUCAAGGCUAUUUAUUUCAGGAGACAGUUAUAAACUUUGCUUAGGAUAACUCAUGUAUCUUUA
RNAcentral lists this unclassified non-coding RNA (613 nucleotides) under Hevea brasiliensis (rubber tree). Lineage: Eukaryota; Viridiplantae; Streptophyta; Magnoliopsida; Malpighiales; Euphorbiaceae. The record is from RNAcentral.